CCGAGUGCGGGUCCUCGUGGCCCAACCUCCCAACCCUUUGUUUACUGAACCACUGUUGCUUCGGCGGGCCCGUCUCUCUCCCGAGACCGCCGGGGGAUCGCUUCACGGCGUCCCCUGGCCCGCGCCCGCCGGUGGCCCUUUACACAAAACUCUUCUGAACAUCAAAUCGUGUCUUGACCUAAGUCUCUUUUAUGAUUAUUGAAUCAAAAAAAC
RNAcentral lists this unclassified non-coding RNA (213 nucleotides) under uncultured Ascomycota. RNAcentral's name for it is "sequence contains ITS1". The record is from RNAcentral. Lineage: Eukaryota; Fungi; Ascomycota.